Nycticebus coucang (slow loris) is the source of this 105-nucleotide small nuclear RNA. Lineage: Eukaryota; Metazoa; Chordata; Mammalia; Primates; Lorisidae. The record is from RefSeq and is a predicted model, not a curated record.
CCCUUUGCAUAAGAGGACCCGUAGAAAGUAAUGAUAUUCAAAAUAAGAUUAGCAUGGUCCCUGCGCAAGGAUGACAUGCAAAUUUGUGAAGCAUUCCAUAUUUUU